Long non-coding RNA from Microtus oregoni (creeping vole), 466 nucleotides. RefSeq lists it as uncharacterized. The transcript is spliced from 3 exons. NCBI's taxonomy places the organism in Eukaryota, Metazoa, Chordata, Mammalia, Rodentia, Cricetidae. The record is from RefSeq and is a predicted model, not a curated record.
UGGAGGCAGUGGAGGGGUCACCACUGAAGAUUCACGUGUGACUCGGGACCAUGAGCGCACAUCCUUUUGGAAUUUUAUUUCUGGAGUGGCCCUGCUCUGUCCCUGCAGUGCCCUUACAGGUGCCAUCCCUCUGACCUUGUCUUCCCCAGCCAUGCAAACGCAAACGAAGGGCUUUCUCCGUCGAUAGUGAGCACGGAGCAAGCACGGAUUUUCAUGCAUGAAGUUGAGAGAGAAGGAACAAGAAGAAAAACUCUAAGUAGACUCAAAGGCACCGGAUACAGAAGGACACACGGCAGACACACUUCCCUGGUUUCAGGGUUUCUGUUGCUGCAUUGAAACACCACGGCCAAACAGCAAGUUGGGGAGGAAAGGGUUAUUCUACAUACAUUUCCUCAUCGCUAUUCAUCACUGAAGGGAGUCGGGACAGGAACUCAAGCAGAUCAGGAACCUGGAGGCAGAAGCUGUU